GUCAGCGGCCAGAGGAUCCGGGUUCCACCCGUACCCAUUCCGAACACGGAAGUUAAACCGGAUUCCGUUUCCGAUUGUACUCAAGUGGGAAACCCUUGGGGAAGUCGGGAAAGCUGCUGGCG
Molecule: ribosomal RNA, 122 nt
Filed under: Candidatus Bathyarchaeota archaeon
Lineage: Archaea; Thermoproteati; Candidatus Bathyarchaeota
Also listed under: 1 other name
Source: RNAcentral